RNAcentral lists this ribosomal RNA (252 nucleotides) under uncultured bacterium. Its description in RNAcentral is "partial 16S ribosomal RNA". It matches the Rfam family "Bacterial small subunit ribosomal RNA", at positions 524 to 776 of the family's 1533-position model. The record is from RNAcentral.
UACGAAGGGGGCUAGCGUUGUUCGGAAUUACUGGGCGUAAAGCGCACGUAGGCGGAUAUUUAAGUCAGGGGUGAAAUCCCAGAGCUCAACUCUGGAACUGCCUUUGAUACUGGGUAUCUUGAGUAUGGAAGAGGUAAGUGGAAUUGCGAGUGUAGAGGUGAAAUUCGUAGAUAUUCGCAGGAACACCAGUGGCGAAGGCGGCUUACUGGUCCAUAACUGACGCUGAGGUGCGAAGCGUGGGGAGCAAACAGG